Molecule: ribosomal RNA, 264 nt
Filed under: Triticum aestivum (bread wheat)
Lineage: Eukaryota; Viridiplantae; Streptophyta; Magnoliopsida; Poales; Poaceae
Description: partial small subunit ribosomal RNA
Source: RNAcentral
AUGGGGAACAAGAUCGCGCGGACAACACAUGCCUCGCGGAUGGAGUACUACCUGCAUGACCUGCCCUCCCCCUGCAACCUCGUGCUACUCGACCUCGUUAGCCGCGACUACCUCCUCUGCAAGCACGACGAGGGCCUCCUCCUCGUCAAGGUCUAAUUCAAGCGCACCGGAGAGCCCCUCGACCUCAAGGACCAUGAGCGAAGGCUGGAGCAGAUCCAGAAGGCCUUCCAGGUCCUCAAGGGAUCCCACGUCUGACCCUUCUAG